CUCAGAGAUGCACAAGAUUAUACCAUGACGGGUAGGUGUCAAGUGUUUCACUAGUUCUGGAGAGGAAAUGCAAAUCGCAAAGUUGUCAGUUACUCUAGUCGGGUAAAGCACGGUAUGGCUAUCAUGGUUUGGGGCGUAAACUAUAUAUUAAAAUGUAAGAAAUCUAUCCGCAAGAUACUGCAAUAUUGAAUAGAACUUUCUGUGUGACUGGUUUCAGAACUUGGGAUCAUCUACUUGAAUAGUGUCCUAAUUAUCAAAACUGUCAGUCGCAUUUAACAGCACCUUGUUAAAACCAUGGCUUACAUCCCUCCUGCAGUCUACCAAGCAGCGUUCUAUGCCGGUUAUCAGGUCAGAAUAAUUAACAUCCAGGUGUCCCCAUGCAAGUAUGUAUCAUCCCAAGCCAUCCUAUCUCUACUGCAGUCUGGGCCUGCUCCCAACCUAGAGAAGAG
This is a non-coding RNA of Pelobates cultripes (western spadefoot toad), 449 nucleotides long. The record is from the annotation of a GenBank genome assembly. Lineage: Eukaryota; Metazoa; Chordata; Amphibia; Anura; Pelobatidae.